RNAcentral lists this ribosomal RNA (497 nucleotides) under uncultured bacterium. RNAcentral's name for it is "partial 16S ribosomal RNA". It matches the Rfam family "Bacterial small subunit ribosomal RNA", at positions 28 to 507 of the family's 1533-position model. The record is from RNAcentral.
GAUGAACGCUGGCGGCGUGCCUAAUACAUGCAAGUCGAGCGAACGGACGAUAAGCUUGCUUUUCUGAUGUUAGCGGCGGACGUGUGAGUAACACGUGUAUAACCUACCUAUAAGACUGGUAUAACUUCGGGAAACCGGAGCUAAUACCGUAUAAUAUUUUGAACCGCAUGGUUCAAAAGUGAAAUACGGUCUUUCUGUCUCUUAUAGAUGGAUCCCCGCUUCAUUUGCUAGUUGGUAAGGUAACGGCUUACCAAGGCAACGAUGCAUAGCCGACCUGAGAGGGUGAUAGGCCACACGGGAACUGAGACACGGUCCAGACUCCUACGGGAGGCAGCAGUAGGGAAUCUUCCGCAAAGGGCGAAAGCCUGACGGAGCAAGGCCGCGUGAGUGAUGAAGGUCUUCGGAUCGUAAAACUCUGUUAUUAGGGAAGAACAGAUGUGUAAGUAGCUGUACACAUCUUGACGGUACCUAAUAAGAAAGCCACGGCUAACUACGUG